GAGAGGAGCACGGUUUAAUUGUAUAUUGUCAAGAAUUGCUGAAAUUAAAUCUAAGAGUACAAUAUGUUGACAGAUUAUCGCCACUUGUACUUUACUACCUCGUACACUAUAAAGAUGCAAAGGACAUAUUGCAGUAAUCAACUGGGAAGUAUAUGUUUGUCAUGCCAUGGCUUAUGGAUGCUAUUUAACAUUAAGAAUGCAUACCACCCAACUGUCCUUAUUUAGGAGGGACAAUCCCUAUUUUGGACCCAUAUUUUUGUUGUUGUUGUGUCUGAGUGUAUAACUGAGCUCCGCAGCAAUAAUACUCACAGUAAUGUGUCUUUUAACUAAAAUAAAUGUGGUUAACAAUCGGUCUGUGUAAAUAAGAUACAUUGUUCUUAUUGUAAACUACUUAUUAGUAAGUCACCUAAAAUUUCACAGAACUGACCCAAACCUAGCCACACCCCUAAAAUUGAAGUGUCCCUCUUUGUCCGUUUGAAAUGUUGGGAGGUAUGUAAUGACAUGAACAGGGUUAUUCACUUAAAUCAGAAUUGCUGGGAAUUCUAAGUGAAUAAAAAAAUGUUAUACUAAUAUAGCCAAACUAGAAGCAUAGCUGACUUGGAGAAUUUUUCCAAUUCAGUUUUUUUGUCCUUAAAGGGACACUGUAGGCAGAGUGCCUGCUUCAUCUCAUUAAACUGGUUAUAGCAUCUGGAG
This is a non-coding RNA of Pelobates cultripes (western spadefoot toad), 693 nucleotides long. Lineage: Eukaryota; Metazoa; Chordata; Amphibia; Anura; Pelobatidae. The record is from the annotation of a GenBank genome assembly.